Molecule: ribosomal RNA, 84 nt
Filed under: Cissus quadrangularis (veldt-grape)
Lineage: Eukaryota; Viridiplantae; Streptophyta; Magnoliopsida; Vitales; Vitaceae
Description: partial 5.8S ribosomal RNA
Rfam family: 5.8S ribosomal RNA
About the family: 5.8S ribosomal RNA (5.8S rRNA) is a component of the large subunit of the eukaryotic ribosome. It is transcribed by RNA polymerase I as part of the 45S precursor that also contains 18S and 28S rRNA.
Source: RNAcentral
UGCAGAAUCUCGUGAAUCAUCGAGUCUUUGAACGCAAGUUGCGCUCAAAGCCAUCAGGCCAAGGGCAUGCCUGCUUGGGCGUCU